AUGGGAAGUCCCAGAUUCCCCGCCUCUCCUCCGCUGACCUCGGGGCCACGGCCCACGGCUGACCGCAUGCGGCACCAGCUGGACGGCGACCACUGGCUCAUCCGCCGCCACCGCCUCAGCCUCGACGUCCUGCUCGGGCACGAUCUUCACAGUGAACACAAGUUACACAACAGCCAUAUUUCUUCAAGCCACCCAUGUGCCGCAGUUUAUCGAAGCCUGAAUCUCUUCCAAGGUCUUGCCUUUUGUCUCCGGCACGAUCUUCACAAUGAAGAGAAUAGCCAUGGCACAAACAAAGGCGAAGAAGAAGAAUGUUCCUGCAAGAUGAUUUGCAUAUCAGACAAAUGUCCCUGGAUGAUUCAAGCAACACCAUAG
RNAcentral lists this ribosomal RNA (372 nucleotides) under Triticum aestivum (bread wheat). RNAcentral's name for it is "partial small subunit ribosomal RNA". The record is from RNAcentral. Lineage: Eukaryota; Viridiplantae; Streptophyta; Magnoliopsida; Poales; Poaceae.